GACUUUCAUAUAGAGACCAGUGUUGAUAAAGUGCCAGGCGCAGAUCGUAUUCAAAUGCUAUUCGCAUGCAAUCAAUUGACAGGGAAUUUUCUUCAUCUUCAUUGCGGUGGUUAUGGCGAGACACGUGGCGCUGCAGAAUUCCAAUAUCAGUCACAUACUUAAUGUGAGUAAUUUUAUCUUGGACCCACUGAUCUGUUAGGCCAACAAUAGCCCACCACAACAUGUCAUUCAAAUCUUUAGACAUUAUCCACGCCAGAUCAAACAUCACCAUCGCAGACGAGGUCCCAUGGUACUCGUAUUGCUCGUAAUCAAAAAGAAUUUCACGUCUGCGUGCCUCCCAUUCUCG
Molecule: long non-coding RNA, 346 nt
Filed under: Gallus gallus (chicken)
Lineage: Eukaryota; Metazoa; Chordata; Aves; Galliformes; Phasianidae
Source: RNAcentral